RNAcentral lists this long non-coding RNA (313 nucleotides) under Manihot esculenta (cassava). Its description in RNAcentral is "long non-coding RNA (MESC_LNC003740)". The record is from RNAcentral. Lineage: Eukaryota; Viridiplantae; Streptophyta; Magnoliopsida; Malpighiales; Euphorbiaceae.
CUGACACUGGACUCACUGCUGACUUCCCUAAUUCCUCUGGUCCGUACCUCUUACACAACUUGAGGAUGAAGGAUCCUAACGUGGAGAUAUGAAGAAAAGCUCUUCCAAAGCUCCAAGCUUCAAAACUUGGUUCUUUUGCUCAAAACCUUCAUAAGUCACCAAAACUCUUAAAACUCUUGAAAGAUUUGAUGAACAUCAUGGAAAACAUGAAAGUCAACGUGGGAGAGGCUGAAACUCACCUCUGGCUGCAAGUGGAGGAGAAAUAACCUCCUUCCACCGACCCUUGGCCCUUUUAUAGGUGGCUGGCUAGACC